Schistosoma rodhaini is the source of this 48-nucleotide non-coding RNA. The record is from Rfam. Lineage: Eukaryota; Metazoa; Platyhelminthes; Trematoda; Strigeidida; Schistosomatidae.
AUCCGGCUGACGAGUCCAAAAUAGGACGAAAUGCGCGUCAAACUGGAU